UGCAAAUGAUGUUUAUCUCACGAUGGUCUUCCAAGCCGCUGGCUCUGACGACACUGCCUCACGGCGACACUGAUGCAGCGCA
Molecule: small nucleolar RNA, 82 nt
Organism: Conger conger (European conger)
Lineage: Eukaryota; Metazoa; Chordata; Actinopteri; Anguilliformes; Congridae
Product: small nucleolar RNA SNORD35
Exons: 1
Source: RefSeq, a predicted model, not a curated record